GACAACUCGCGGGGAUUGUUUUCCACACCGUGGAAGCUUUGUUCUUUUCGUUUUUUGCAAUAAAUCUUGUUGCUGCUCGCUUUUUGGGUCCACAUUGCUUUUAUGAGCUGUACCACUCACCGUGAAGAUCUGCAGCUUCACUUCAGAGCCUAGCGAGACCACAAGCUCACUGAGAGGAACAAACAACUCCAGACGCGCUGUCUUAAGAGCUAUAACACUCACCGCGAAGGUGUGCAGUUUCACUCCUGAGCUAGUGAGACUACGAAGCCACUGGAACGAAGAAACUCCAACCACGUUUGAACAUCAGAAGGGGCAGACUCCAGACGCUUCAUCUUAAGAGCUGUAACACUCACUGUGAAGGUCUGCAGCUUCACUCCUGAGCCAGCGAGACCACGAACCGAUCUGAACAUCAGAAGGGACAGACUCCAGAUGCCCCACCUUAAGAGCUGUAAUACUCACUGCAAGGGUCUGCAGCUUCAUUCUUGAAGUCAGACCAAGAACCCAGCAAUUCCCAACACACAGGGACCAGCUUCUUUCCUAACUCACUUAGGCUCUUCGUGCUGCUCUGGCAACUAACACCCUUGGCUGCAGGGGCUUGGACACUACCCUUAGUCACUGACAAUUGUGUGAAGGCUGCUGUCGUUAACUUCACUUGAUCACCUUAGGCUCCUGUGAAGUGGUGAGCAAUUCAAACAAAUUCCUGUCGUCAAAUCAUAUAAGAUCAAUCAGAUUCGUGUUUUGCAACUACUUCUUGGCAAGACGUACGGGACUGACCGCAGUUGACACAUGCCAAUAGGGGGAGAAAUCUGAAGACGUGUUUCUGUGCAGUGGUGGCACCCAGGGGCUCUGGCCAGAGGAGGUCACAGGAAGAUGCCUAGCGGCCCGUGGAGCGACCUGCCCCGCAUUGUCACUUGACCGCUGGUGUGCGAAGGGGAUAACACUGUGUUCAAUGUGUUUGUAACCUUGCAUGAAAAAAUUGAAGAAAUGUCACUUUCUUCUCACCCUCUCCCAGGCCAAUCAUCUGUCAUGAAUUCAAUAUGAGGCAAACGUCUGGUGAUCACAGGGACAAACUAGGGAUAGGCCUUUGGGAGAGGAAUCUACUCAGUUUGUGUUCAACCGGACUAUCCAGGGUCCCUCCAACGACAUGUCGGGAUUAUGAGAACUACAAUUCAAGAUGAGAUUUGGGUGGGGACACAACCAAACGAUAUCAUAAGAAUCCUGAUUUUGUUUGGAAGGACAGCGUGCCUGGUUCCAGGAUAUACAUCUUUCCACACCAAUAGACCUUGUUUUCCGAUGUAGCAUUAUUUUUCAUAGUUGGCGAAUAUACAGUUAUGGAUUCAUAACAGCAAGAUGGAGAAAUUGCACUGCAGAGAAAUCUUUAAAAGCAAUUACCUAAUACUGCAGAUUGCUGAACUGUACCCACACCCAAGACUGAGCAUUGGAUCAAUCCAGAAUAUACAUCAGGUGUUCUGCAAUGUCUGCCUAAAACCAUGACUCUGCCUCCUCCAGCUGUUGCUACAUCUCACUAUGGGUUUCCUGUGACAUUUUGAGCAAGUAUGCCUCUGUGACUGGGGUUCUUACACUCCAGAAUGGAUGAGAAGCACCGUAAGUGGCUUUUAAAAUGAAUAUUCCCUGGCCCUUCAGUCGCUCUAUAGGUCAAGAAUCUGAAUUCUCAACCUGUCUAGAAGGUUCUGGUUUUAAUGGUCUGUGGGCUGCACAUUGAGAAACCUGUUCAGCGAGUGCAACAAAGGUUCCACAUGUGAGAAAGGAAGCAUCAGGUCUCUUGAGCCUGUUCUUUAAUCUGUAGGCUGCACCUUCUCUUUAAAUUCUGCUAAUAACACCAUGCGAGAAAACACCCGAGCUUGAAAAGCCCAUGUUCCAACAUAACUGUCCUUCACCACUCUGGAAAAUUAAUGGUUUGUUUCGAUUAUCCCUUUGUUAAACUCCAAAGUCAAAGAGCUCUGAAAGGCAUACGGUUAUUUUAAGUUUCAGGUGAUUUCUGUUGCCAAAUAUUUUAAAAAUUUAAAAUUGCUACGUGACCUCUUAGUAGUACUAUUAGAUUUCCUGACAAUAAAAAUAAGUCUUUUGGUUUCACCAUUUAUAGUUAGUACAGCUAAUAUUAAGUAUAAUUUUAAAAGCCUUUUAUUUUCUCAGAAAGAAAAAAUAAUCAAAAUCUGCUCAGUGUGGUAUUGAAUAAUUAAAAACAAAAGAACAGUAUCUUCACAUUAG
Molecule: long non-coding RNA, 2229 nt
Organism: Homo sapiens (human)
Lineage: Eukaryota; Metazoa; Chordata; Mammalia; Primates; Hominidae
Source: Ensembl